UGUACUGUCAUGUGUAACUAAUUAAAACAAAUAAAAAAAUAAAAUUCAAAAAAAAAAAAAGAAAAAUGAAAACAACUCACCAAUUUAUGAUGCAGUCACAAAAUGAAACACUCUCUUGCAAUAGGGAGGAAUGGGUCAAAUCACAACAUGGAUGAAUCCCCAAAAUACAAUGUUGAGUGAGGAAGCCACACACAAAGGAAGACACACCAUGUGAUUUGAUUUAUGUAAAGCUUAGAAACAGACCUCUGACGUUAGAAGUAAAGGUUCUGGUUACCUUCCAGGGAAGGAGGUAGUGGAAACAGGACACAAAGGGGCUUCAGAGUAUUGCAGUGUUCCAAAUUUUAAAGUUGUGUUGCCUGAGCAUGUUCACUUUGUGAAAAUCCACUGUGCUUAUGAUGUGCAUGUAUUAUUGGGGUAUUAAAAGGAAAAAGAGGGCUGGGGCUGUAGCUCAGUGGUAGAGCGCUUGCCUUGCAUAUGUGAGGCCUUGGUUUCCAUCCUCAGCAUCACAUAAAAAUAAAUAAAAUAAAAUACAGGUGUUGUGUCCAUCUACAACUACAAAUAUUUUUUUUUUUAAAAAAAAAAGAGGGAAAAGAGCAAUGGCUGAAUGGGAGUCUAGAAUCAAGUCAGGGCAGUGAAGAAAUUGCUGACAGGGGCAGCCAGGAAAAGGCACUGAAAUAUUAAACAUGUCUCCAAUUAUAGUGGAUAAAGGGGGGCCUGGGGGAAAUUAGGGACACAAUGGUUAUGACAGGAGAGGGAGAAUCACCACAUAUCAGAGGAUUGAAUGCAGAGUAGCAUCUUGUUAUGACAAAGUCCACCAUGUAGCUGUCAUAGGAUGAAAGACAAAAUAUCAUCAGUCACAGGGCUGUAUCCAUUCAUGACACAGAAGAUAGCAAAGGUCAUCCUUAUAAUUCAGCAUGGGAAGGAGUUGGUUGUUUAACUCAGGUGAAUGUGGAGAAGACCCUGGCAGCUCAUUUGUUGUUUAACUUUGCCUGCUUACUGGGCACUAGAGUUCUGUGCAAGGACACUUAAACCUGUAGUAUCAUAUUAAGAAAAUCAUGUGCAGUGUAAACAAAGCUUUUGCUACAUCUCUGAGCUUGAACAUGGCUUCUAGUCUGUGGUCUCCUAGCAAGAGAAAUACAGCAGGUAGCAGAUAAUGUAAACAGUUUAGUUCCCUGGGUGGCUUUAAAGGGAAGGAGACAGUUUAAUCUUCCUUAUAUAUGCACAAAAACUUCCCUCUCUCUCUCAUACACACAAACAGAACACUACAUUUGGGAACCUUGCCUUAGCAAUAAAUAUUGGCUACUUAAGCAUCUUGGUUAAAAUAGAAAAACCAGUUGUCUUAUGAAUCAGAGGUUAAAGCAAUGUUCUUAGAGGAUUAAUUUCUAAGAUUGCUUUCCAAAUAUCAUGGCUGACCAAGUCUUAGCAGUCAUUAUUAAUAAGAAUGGUGAAAAUUAAGGUGAAGUUUGCGUUUUCUUUCUUCGUAUUGCUUCCUUCUCUUCUGGGUUGAUUUUCCUUCCACAUUGCUUAUCUUUCUCAAAUCUCAUGAAGAUAAUUUCUAAAUAAGUUUCCUAUAUAAUUUUUCCUUGGUUCCAGAGAUUCUGUUGAAUGCAGUCUUUGACAUAUUGUUAUGACACCUCUAACAUUAUACAGCACAUAUCAAGGCGAAUUUAUAAUUGAACAUGCAAAUUGAGACCUUUGAGAAUAAGAAAAGGUGCUAUUAAUAAUUAUGUUAGGGCAACAGGUAUGAACCAGUGCUAUCUUGGCAAACUGGAGGUGUGGUCACUUUGUCCAGAAGCCUCCUGGACAAGAAUCAACCUGUGAAGGCUCUGUUUUGUUGGAGGCUGUUUUCUUGGGACUGAGUCAUUCCCAGGCUCAGUUUGCUUAUUAAUUUAGCUCGAUUC
This 1901-nucleotide long non-coding RNA is filed under the name Marmota monax (woodchuck). The record is from RNAcentral. Lineage: Eukaryota; Metazoa; Chordata; Mammalia; Rodentia; Sciuridae.